Long non-coding RNA from Sinocyclocheilus rhinocerous, 1095 nucleotides. RefSeq lists it as uncharacterized. NCBI's taxonomy places the organism in Eukaryota, Metazoa, Chordata, Actinopteri, Cypriniformes, Cyprinidae. The record is from RefSeq and is a predicted model, not a curated record. The transcript is spliced from 3 exons.
AAAUUGCUAAUAUAUCGCAGAGUUUUGCACAUUGGGACGCAGGCCAUGUGUCACAGGUGAGGUCACGUGACAGGCGGAGGAUUGCGUCUGCUGCAGAGUCUCAGCGGUGAGUUUAUUCCCAUCCCUUCAGAAUCACACAAACACAAACUCCUCCUCCUCAGCUCCAGCUGCUGCUGUGUGAGGAACAGGAGCGUGAUGCCGCGCGCGGGAGAUUUACUGUUACUUUGUAGCGACUGCUGAGAGGAAAUUCUGCGAUCUGUUACAUUUAAACCGAUGAGGGAACAUGAGCUCCAGAAGAUGUGCAGCACCAGCAGGUGACCCAGUCCACCAUCCUCCAAACUCUCAGACAUCACAGAGACCGCGGUGAUGUCCAGACCUGCAUCUGAGCCCGUUCCCUGCAGCAGCGCCCCGUCCAGCGCAUGUUUCUCAGUCAUUUACGAGCUCACAGAUGCGGAGGAACUCAAAGAACCCGGCGAUCUCGCUGAGCUCAUAAAGACACACACAGCGGAUCACAUCAGCGCCAGUGAGAAGACAGAAAACCCGUCUGUGCUGCACAUCGAGGGCCGUUCUGAUCAGGAUGAAUCUGUUAUCCCGUCCACAGGAAGUGGUUGUCCUCUUGACUUCCUGUCUGGUGUCUGAGCGAGACGCUGAGAGUGUGUGGCUCCCUCUGAACGCCUCUGAAAGCUCACAGUGUUCCUCACAGCCGACAGACCUCAAUAAUAAUCUCUUAGAGAGCGUGAGUAAGGAUCGCAGACGGAAGCAGGCUCGUCCCGAGCGCAGCCCCGACCCGCAGGACCCCCGCAGCUGGACACCGGUCAGAGCCGACUGAUCAUCACCUCUGACUACAGGUGGAGCCUCUGAGGGAGUGAGUAUGGUGUGUUUCUGCUCAGCGAGGAGAUCCGGCGCUGGAGGAGGAGCAGGAGCAGGAGCUCGAGCUCCGAGGAGGAGAGCGACUCCUGAGCUCUGUCCCCCUCAGCUGUCUUCAUCUCCAGAGCAUCGGCGAGGCUACAGAAGACCUUGUGUGGCUUUGUGCACGCUUUAGGAUCUUCAGGUAAAUCAGAAUGUGCUUUUCACAGCAUGCCAUCAUGUUUUGAA